CAAGUCCCAGUCCCAGACCUGGAGGACUUACAAGGCAUGUAGAGAAGCUGCUGGACCCGCCAAGGCUUCUCUCUACAGUCAGAUGUCUCUGGGCUUAGAAGAUGUACUCUGAGACUGGGGACCCAGGCCUGGACAGGCCACUGCCUUACCCAGUAGCUUCGUGCAAGUCACCUGUAUUUGAGACUCAGCUACCUGCUCUGCAGAACUGCAGUAACGGUGUGGAUCCAUUGACUUCAGAGGGUAAGAUGGCCCUGACUCUCGUGCCUGAGUUUCUAAACUGUGAGACAGUGGCUGCUCUACCAGUUAGAAAUCAGAAGUUUUAGUCUAUCCUGCUGUUCGCUUAUUCAGCAAGUAUUUGUCAACAGCUAUGGUGUGUGCCUACCCAGGCACUCAGACUCAGCCACAGUCUACAGACCUCCCGCUUCCUGACCACUUGCUCUGAAAAUCUGGGUUGUGAUCUCAAAACCUAAAGACUUCCCAAUCCCACGUCCUGACCUCCGUGUCUUGUUUGGAAUAUCGCAACCCCCAAUCCUGUACCCCCAGUCCUGUGCCCACCUCCACACACACUGCCGCUCUGUCCGACUCAGUACAUAGAUGUGUGGCUUCUGGCCCCACAAGGUAGGAGUGUGGGUGAGUGUGUAUUCGGGUGUGAGUGCCCCUGAGAGUGUAAGGCUGUGUGAAUAUAAGGAUGUGGAGUGUGGGUGUGUAUCUGAGUGUGUUUGAGCGUGUGUGUGUAAUGAGUGAGAGUCGCUGUCAGGGCUUGUUUGACUGUAGUUGGGUCAAGUAUGGAGUGAGUGUGCCAUGUGUGGGGGUGUGGAUGAGCCAGUGUGGGUGUGCAUGAUUUUGUGUGAGGGUGUGCAAAGCCUCAGUCCCUCAUCAGUCAAAGACACACCCUCACGUGCAUGUGGGCACAUAUGCAUUCCAAGGGUCGAAGGUGGCUAAGCUGUAAGCCCAUCUUCCGAUAAGGGAAGACUUUGUCCACAGGCCAGGGAUCACUCUCCCCUCCCCACCCCAACAUGGAAGUGGGGAUCCCCCAGCUAAAAGUUGCCUCUGUCAGGAACGAGCACCCUGAGACUGCGGCCCACGGCCCACCUCCCACCUCAAGCCAGGCCGCCUCCUCCUCUCUCUCAGCUGCUUUCCAGCCCAGCCCUGGCAGUGACCCUGGACCGAGAGGCGAAGGACGGGCUGGUGGCCAGACAUUCCAGGUGCCUCCCUGGCUGUGGGGGGCAUCUCCAUGGAGACGAGCAGCUGACCAUAACAAGAUGAUUAUCGGGGCUCCCAGGGUCCCCCCCAGCCUCUCCCAAACAGACCUCUUCAGCACUAAGCCGUGCCAGGAAGUGUGACAAGAACCCAUUGCUCCUCACAGGAGCUUCUGAAAAAGGCAGAGACCACAGAGCCAUGGGAUUGUCCCUGAAACAGCUUCCCCGACGCAAGAGACCAAAGAAGUUGGCCAAGGCAAUUGGAUCUGGUUUAAGGCUUUAUCCCCAGAGAUCUCUAGAAGCAGGGGACGAUGCCACCCAUUCCUUCUUCGCCCAUUAUAUUUCACUCUGACCUGGAGGUAUGACCAAGGCAAUAGAGGGUGGGGGCCCCUAGAGGAGUCAGGGUGGCUGGUUUGCAGCCCACUCAUCACCCCACCCCACUGUCAAUCUCAGCUGUCCCUAAGACGUGCCGGUUAGUGUCCCCUAGUGUGCUUUGGCCAUACACGGGGCUGGGAAGGGGCACCGAUCCUUUUCUGGCUCCCAAAGCUGCUGGGUCUCUCAGUGUGUUGGUGAGAGCUGGAAGAGGUCCCCAGAGUCACUGCAAUUGUCCUGGUUUCUGCCCUGUUCUUGAGGAGCUAAAGUGGGAUGUCAAUGAGACCUCAGAAAGAACUUCCUGAUAGGAGGCUGUGAAACAAGAUUAGUAAACACAGAUUGGGAUUUUUGCUUGUGCCCUCAACCUUCUGGGAUUGCCUCCUGGCCAUGAUGCCACAUACACCACCCUGUGAACCCGUUUCAUCGCCAUCACCACUCUCAACCCCUACCAUAUCCCCUGAGCCCCACGACGGGAUGGGAUGCCCAGCCCUCCCUUUCUCAGGAGCCUGAAUUUUCUGGAGAGGACCCAGGGUGGGAAAGAGUCUCUGGCUUCCAUCUCCCCUAAGCCCAGGCUGCCUGGGGAAAGCUGACUCCACUGAAGCUGGAGGGACUGGGGCUUAACUCCCAGGCUGACUAAGGCCCCACAGAAGCUCCAAGCUCCCGGAACUAGAGCAGAUGGCCUUGGGGAAUCAGGCGUCACUUGCAAGCCUGUCUUCAUGCUUUCCUUCCCCACGGUACAUAGGGAGCUCAGAAGGAGUCAUCGUCACCAUCGUUAUAGCCUGCACUUCCAAAGCCCUUCCUGCCACAUCUGGCAUUGUUCUGAUGCGUGUGUUAAUCCACUUACCCCGCCUUGCACAACCUAAUGAGGUAGAUACUAUUACUAUCCCCAUUUCACAGAGGAAGAAACUGAUAUUCAGAGAGGUGACAUCAGUCAGGGAUGCCGCAGGCACAGAUAGUGUCCUCUGAGGCUUCACUGAAGAGAGCCUGAGGAGGGACUAUUUACAGAGGUGGCGGUAGAGUCAAGGGGACCAACCAGGGACGGCUUGGGGACUAACCAACAGCAGCCGUUCCCCCUCAGCCAGAAGAGGCAAGGGGAGAGCAGUGUUCUAGAAUGCAGGAAAAACCAGAGCCCUGGAAAAGGCGUGAAUAGCCUGACCUUUAUCCCCCCACCCUUCCUGCCCUCUGGUUUCCUAGCUGUGUCUCCCAUUUGCCAAACCCAGCUGGAAGCCUGAGGGCAAGAAGGCCCCGGGAAUGCCGCCCCGCCCGUAGAGAUUAGCCUCCUGAGACACAGAACAGGAUAGGGAUUGGAUCUGGAGCAGAUGGAGACUCCCACCCACCCAAGAUCCCGUGGCUGGGAAAGGCUCGUUUGGAACCUAGGUAAUCUGCAUUCAGAGCCCUACUCCCUGAGAUGUUGCGAAAUGCUCUCUGGGGAAGGGAUUGAGAAGACUGGGGUCUAGUGCAGGCUCUGCCGCUCUGCUCUGUGACUCUAGAUGAGACUCUAGUUUUGCCUUUACACAAAGAGGAGGUGUCCCCUCCUGGCACCCUCCACAGCCUAGGUGCCCAGACCAGACACAUCCUCUGUGUUUCCACUGCCACCCCCUCCCUUACCUCAGACAAACCUGGCACCAAAAGCCAAAGCCCGGGACAUGGAGAUGCUGAGUCCCUGAGGAGCCCAUCCCUAGCUGGGGGCAGACGCACUCAUUCCCCUGCCCCCGUCAGACUCCGAGGUUCUACCCAGGAAGCCUCCUUCCAGUCUCCCUGGUGGCCCCAGGGUCUCCAUCUCCAUAUUUCCUUUCUUUGUACUACCACAUUCCCAGGGCCCAUAGCUCAGGGGUCCUACCCGCAAGACAGGCUCCCUCCUCCCAGCCAGAAGGUUCGAGGCCCUGCUUAGGCCAGCAACCUCACAAACUGUUCCUCGGGGAUCCAGGCUGUCUCUGGCCCCUGGGGUCCCUGUACUGGGUGGAGUAGUCCCUCUUCUCCCCUUCCCACCCCACCCAACUCUACCCCACCCACGUUUCCCCAAGCCUAGAAGUGCCCCACCUAGGUUUUCAGAAAAACAAAAUCAAGAGGAAAGAGGAAGGAGGGAGCUCAUUACCAGGAAUUAAGGAGGAGGCCUGCCCUAGGGGAACACAAGUGAGACUUGGCUGGCAGGCAGAGAUAUGCACUGAGUACAUGGAGGUGUACUCAAAGUACACUGAGAGAGGGGCUCAGAGGAACAUGCAGAGAUGUGAUCUGAGGGUCACAGUCCAGGAUGUUCACUCAGAGGUACACAAAGAAAGACCCAGACACAAGGCUGGGCACUGUGGUUCAUGCCUGUAAUCCCAGCACUUUGGGUGGCCAAGGCAGGUGGAUCACCUGAGGUCAGGAGUUCGACACCAGCCUGGGCAACACGGUGAAACCCUGUCUCUACUAAAAAUACAAAAAUUAGCUGGGCGUGGUGGCAUGUGCUUGUAAUCCCAGCUACUCGGGAGGCUGAGGCAGGAGAAUUGCUUCAACCCAGGAGGCAGAGGUUGCAGUGAGCUGAGAUCACACCAUUGCACUCCAGCCUGGAUGACAAGAGUGAAACUCCAUCUCAAAAAUAAUAAUAAUAAUAAUAAUAAAAGAAAGACCCAGACACAAAGAGUCAGGCAGUAAGAGAUACUCGGAAAGAGACAGAGACAUGGUCUGCCAGAGGUUUGGACCCACAGAGACAUAACCAGAUACAUUGAAAGAAAGGCACAACCAGAAACACUAAGUGCAUUUGCUUGGGUGCACACACACACUGAGGCAGGCACACUAAGAAACAGGAACCAAGCUCAAGUUUCACAGAGACUGAUUUUAACCCAAGCAGAUCUGAAUUUUAAGGAAACAUGAGCUCCUCCAAAGUGGGCUGUGGAGAUGGCUCAGCACAGGAAGAAGGGACAGAGGUGAGAUAGGGGAUGCAAUUCUCCCUUCA
RNAcentral lists this long non-coding RNA (4506 nucleotides) under Homo sapiens (human). Its description in RNAcentral is "HSALNT0148207". Lineage: Eukaryota; Metazoa; Chordata; Mammalia; Primates; Hominidae. The record is from RNAcentral.